GCUUAUGUAGCUUAUAAAAUAAAAGCAAGGCACUGAAAAUGCCUAGAAGAAUAUAUAUAUUAUUCCAUAAACA
Molecule: transfer RNA, 73 nt
Filed under: Geomys arenarius (desert pocket gopher)
Lineage: Eukaryota; Metazoa; Chordata; Mammalia; Rodentia; Geomyidae
Description: tRNA-Phe
Rfam family: tRNA
About the family: Transfer RNA (tRNA) molecules are approximately 80 nucleotides in length. Their secondary structure includes four short double-helical elements and three loops (D, anti-codon, and T loops).
Source: RNAcentral